UACGGGGGGGGCAAGCGUUGUUCGGAAUUACUGGGCGUAAAGGGCUCGUAGGCGGCCAACUAAGUCAGACGUGAAAUCCCUCGGCUUAACCGGGGAACUGCGUCUGAUACUGGAUGGCUCGAGUUUGGGAGAGGGAUGCGGAAUCCCAGGUGUAGCGGUGAAAUGCGUAGAUAUCUGGAGGAACACCGGUGGCGAAGGCGGCAUCCUGGACCAACACUGACGCUGAGUGAGCGAAAGCCAGGGGAGCAAACGGG
This 254-nucleotide ribosomal RNA is filed under the name uncultured bacterium. RNAcentral describes it as "partial 16S ribosomal RNA". It matches the Rfam family "Bacterial small subunit ribosomal RNA", at positions 524 to 776 of the family's 1533-position model. The record is from RNAcentral.